Molecule: ribosomal RNA, 393 nt
Filed under: uncultured bacterium
Lineage: Bacteria
Description: partial 16S ribosomal RNA
Rfam family: Bacterial small subunit ribosomal RNA
Source: RNAcentral
AUACGGAGGACGCGAGCGUUAUCCGGAUUCAUUGGGUUUAAAGGGUGCGUAGGCGGUUUGCUAAGCGGGAGGUGAAAUGCCGGCGCUCAACGUCGGAAGUGCCUCCCGAACUGGUGGACUUGAAUGACUCUGCCGUGGGAGGAAUGUGUAGUGUAGCGGUGAAAUGCUUAGAGAUUACACAGAACACCGAUUGCGAAGGCAUCUCACGAAGGGUUGAUUGACGCUGAGACACGAAAGCGUGGGGAUCAAACAGGAUUAGAUACCCUGGUAGUCCACGCAGUAAACGAUGAUGGCUAACCGCUGGGCUUAUCAGUUCAGUGGCCAAGCGAAAGCGAUAAGCCAUCCACCUGGGGAGUACGACCGCAAGGUUGAAACUCAAAUGAAUUGACGGGG